UGGGGAAUUUUGGACAAUGGGCGAAAGCCUGAUCCAGCAAUGCCGCGUGUGUGAAGAAGGCCUUCGGGUUGUAAAGCACUUUUGUCCGGAAAGAAAUCCUUGGCUCUAAUACAGUCGGGGGAUGACGGUACCGGAAGAAUAAGCACCGGCUAACUACGUGCCAGCAGCCGCGGUAAUACGUAGGGUGCAAGCGUUAAUCGGAAUUACUGGGCGUAAAGCGUGCGCAGGCGGUUUGCUAAGACCGAUGUGAAAUCCCCGGGCUCAACCUGGGAACUGCAUUGGUGACUGGCAGGCUAGAGUAUGGCAGAGGGGGUAGAAUUCCACGUGUAGCAGUGAAAUGCGUAGAGAUGUGGAGGAAUACCGAUGGCGAAGGCAGCCCCCUGGGCCAAAUACUGACGCUCAUGCACGAAAGCGUGGGGAGCAAACAGGAUUAGAUACCCUGGUAGUCCAGCGCCCUAAACGAUGUCAACUAGUUGUUGGGGAUUCAUUCCUUAGUAACGUAGCUAACGCGUGAAGUUGACCGCCUGGGGAGUACGGUCG
Molecule: ribosomal RNA, 540 nt
Filed under: uncultured bacterium
Lineage: Bacteria
Description: partial 16S ribosomal RNA
Rfam family: Bacterial small subunit ribosomal RNA
Source: RNAcentral